Long non-coding RNA from Pongo pygmaeus (Bornean orangutan), 597 nucleotides. RefSeq lists it as uncharacterized. The record is from RefSeq and is a predicted model, not a curated record. The transcript is spliced from 3 exons. NCBI's taxonomy places the organism in Eukaryota, Metazoa, Chordata, Mammalia, Primates, Hominidae.
CCGGCUAGCCGGCGCAGGAUCCACGAUCUUCAAGGAUGGCCAGGGGCUUCCAAGAUCCUAAACGCAGUUAACCACUCUGCGAGGUAGAAAACAGGCCCAGAGAAGUUCAAGAACUUGCUCUAGAAGAUUACUGAACGAGUAAACAGCAGAGGCCGGUCUAGAACCAGCCCCAUGUGCCCUUCUGAUAGCGCAGCAGCAGCACUUAACACCUAACCGGCUUGGCUAAAUUCUAUGUGAGAGGCACUGGUGCUGAGGGUAAAAAUAAAAACAAAACACCAUCCAGUCCAGAGGCAGCUUACAGCUCAAUAGAGAAGGGUGAAUUCAAAAUUCUUCUGGCAUUAUUAUUUGCCAAAGAAGAGUGAGGACAUGUGUCCCUCUUCUGCCAUACCGUGACCUGGACAGAAGAAAGUGAAUAAGGACAUUUUUCUCCCUGAAGCCUUCGGGAGCUUGGCCUGCAGAAGCCUCUUCUUGGUUAGGACUCAGAACCCUCUCAGAACAUUGUGACCUGCCAGAGCUGGCAUUGCACAGAGACCUCCCUGGGCAACCCUUGAUUCACCGUCCCAUAAAUGUCCAGAUGGAGGAAGUGGUCUGGGGAAG